Molecule: ribosomal RNA, 503 nt
Filed under: Simulium parahiyangum
Lineage: Eukaryota; Metazoa; Arthropoda; Insecta; Diptera; Simuliidae
Description: eukaryotic LSU rRNA
Rfam family: Eukaryotic large subunit ribosomal RNA
Source: RNAcentral
CACUAAGCGGGAGGUAAACUCCUUCUAAGACUAAAUAUUACCAUGAGACCGAUAGCGAACAAGUACCGUGAGGGAAAGUUGAAAAGCACUCUGAAUAGAGAGUCAAAAAGUACGUGAAACUGUCUAGGGUUAAGAAAGCAUGAAGUGUCUAAAUAUCUGAAUGGAGAAAUUCAGUAUCAUAUUGUUGUAGUUAUAUUAUAAUGAAGCAUAUGGUGUGCACUUUUCUCCUUGUAAGACACUGCGAUCCAUUAGAACCUUGUGUUAAUAAUGACCAUGAUGUGCAUUAUUAUAUCUAUCAAUGGGCCUGGCAUGGAGCUUACAUAUUUAAUGUCAGUACUGUAUAUUGUUAAGGUGAUAUACAGGAAAGCAAUGUAAACUGCUGGUGACUCGUAUAGAUGUCUGAUGGAUUUUAGGCGACCACAAUGCGACACCUUGUGUGUAACCAGAAAUGGUUUAUUGUAUUGUGCCGGAUCAGCAGUGUAUUUGUUUAGUAAUCUUCAUGA